RNAcentral lists this ribosomal RNA (254 nucleotides) under uncultured bacterium. RNAcentral's name for it is "partial 16S ribosomal RNA". It matches the Rfam family "Bacterial small subunit ribosomal RNA", at positions 524 to 776 of the family's 1533-position model. The record is from RNAcentral.
UACAGAGGUGGCAAGCGUUGUUCGGAAUUACUGGGCGUAAAGGGCGCGUAGGCGGUCUUGUAAGUCUUGUGUGAAAUCCCUCGGCUCAACUGAGGAACUGCACGGGAUACUGCGAGACUUGAGUUCGGGAGAGGGAAGCGGAAUUCCGGGUGUAGCGGUGAAAUGCGUAGAUAUCCGGAGGAACACCGGUGGCGAAGGCGGCUUCCUGGACCGAUUACUGACGCUGAGGCGCGAAAGCGUGGGGAGCAAACAGG